This 75-nucleotide transfer RNA is filed under the name Sediminivirga luteola. RNAcentral's name for it is "tRNA-Pro". Lineage: Bacteria; Bacillati; Actinomycetota; Actinomycetes; Micrococcales; Brevibacteriaceae. The record is from RNAcentral.
CUCGGCCUGGGCGAGGGCAGCCCGCAUCAUCCGGGUUGAUGCGCUGAUGCAGGUGCUCGGGCCAGCUCGCUGAGC